UCCAGACUCCUACGGGAGGCAGCAGUGAGGAAUAUUGGUCAAUGGCCGAGAGGCUGAACCAGCCAAGUCGCGUGAGGGAAGAAUGUCCUAUGGAUUGUAAACCUCUUUUGUCAGGGAGCAAAGUCACCCACGUGUGGGUGUUGGAGAGUACCUGAAGAAAAAGCAUCGGCUAACUCCGUGCCAGCAGCCGCGGUAAUACGGAGGAUGCGAGCGUUAUCCGGAUUUAUUGGGUUUAAAGGGUGCGUAGGCGGGACCUUAAGUCAGCGGUAAAAUUGCGGUGCUCAACGCCGUAGAGCCGUUGAAACUGGGGCUCUUGAGUGAGCGAGAAGUAUGCGGAAUGCGUGGUGUAGCGGUGAAAUGCAUAGAUAUCACGCAGAACCCCGAUUGCGAAGGCAGCAUACCGGCGCUCAACUGACGCUGAGGCACGAAAGUGCGGGUAUCGAACAGGAUUAGAUACCCUUGUA
Molecule: ribosomal RNA, 464 nt
Filed under: uncultured bacterium
Lineage: Bacteria
Description: bacterial SSU rRNA
Rfam family: Bacterial small subunit ribosomal RNA
Source: RNAcentral